AGUGAACGCUGGCGGUAGGCCUAACACAUGCAAGUCGAACGGCAGCACAGUAAGAGCUUGCUCUUACGGGUGGCGAGUGGCGGACGGGUGAGGAAUACAUCGGAAUCUACUUUUUCGUGGGGGAUAACGUAGGGAAACUUACGCCAAUACCGCAUACGACCUACGGGUGAAAGCAGGGGAUCUUCGGACCUUGCGCGAUUGAAUGAGCCGAUGUCGGAUUAGCUAGUUGGCGGGGUAAAGGCCCACCAAGGCGACGAUCCGUAGCUGGCCUGAGGGGAUGAUCAGCCACACUGGAACUGAGACACGGUCCAGACUCCUACGGGAGGCAGCAGUGGGGAAUAUUGGACAAUGGGCGCAAGCCUGAUCCAGCCAUACCGCGUGGGUGAAGAAGGCCUUCGGGUUGUAAAGCCCUUUUGUUGGGAAAGAAAAGCAGCAGGUUAAUACCCCGCUGUUCUGACGGUACCCAAAGAAUAAGCACCGGCUAACUUCGUG
RNAcentral lists this ribosomal RNA (492 nucleotides) under uncultured bacterium. Its description in RNAcentral is "partial 16S ribosomal RNA". It matches the Rfam family "Bacterial small subunit ribosomal RNA", at positions 29 to 507 of the family's 1533-position model. The record is from RNAcentral.